Molecule: ribosomal RNA, 492 nt
Filed under: uncultured bacterium
Lineage: Bacteria
Description: partial 16S ribosomal RNA
Rfam family: Bacterial small subunit ribosomal RNA
Source: RNAcentral
AUUGAACGCUGGCGGCAUGCUUUACACAUGCAAGUCGAGCGGUAACAGGCCUUCGGGUGCUGACGAGUGGCGAACGGGUGAGUAAUGCAUCGGAACGUACCCAGAGGUGGGGGAUAACGCAGCGAAAGCUGUGCUAAUACCGCAUGUGAUCUGAGGAUGAAAGCGGGGGACCGAGCAGCAAUGUUUGGCCUCGCGCCUUUGGAGCGGCCGAUGUCGGAUUAGCUAGUUGGUGGGGUAAAGGCCUACCAAGGCGACGAUCCGUAGCUGGUCUGAGAGGACGAACAGCCAAACUGGGAAUGAGAAACGGCCCAGACUCCUACGGGAGGCAGCAGUGGGGAAUUUUGGACAAUGGGCGCAAGCCUGAUCCAGCAAUGCCGCGUGCGGGAAGAAGGCCUUCGGGUUGUAAACCGCUUUUGGCAGGAACGAAACGGUGUCCGCUAAUACCGGGCGCUAAUGACGGUACCUGCAGAAUAAGCACCGGCUAACUACGUG